AAGAAAACGACCUUUUUAAUGGUUGUUUCUUAUACGGUUUUGCCUCACGCUCUCCUCGCCAAAUUUGAGCGUGGGGUUUUUU
Molecule: non-coding RNA, 82 nt
Filed under: Streptococcus pyogenes
Lineage: Bacteria; Bacillati; Bacillota; Bacilli; Lactobacillales; Streptococcaceae
Source: RNAcentral